This 798-nucleotide long non-coding RNA is filed under the name Brassica napus (rape). RNAcentral's name for it is "long non-coding RNA (BNAP_LNC006980)". The record is from RNAcentral. Lineage: Eukaryota; Viridiplantae; Streptophyta; Magnoliopsida; Brassicales; Brassicaceae.
AACAAUAUCAUUAGAUCCCUUUCCUGUAUAUAGAUUGAAGAAACACAUGACUCCUCCUCUAACCACUACCGGAAGACUGAAAAACUAAGAGACUGUCACUAGGUAAGAUCUGGUCAAUCAAGAGAUUGAUACAAAAGAAUAAUAAACAAAUUCAUGGUCAAUUUAAAGUGCUGAAAUACCGAAGGAAGAGGUAGAGAGGAGGCUGAAUGUACAAAAAUAAUAAGAAGAGGUUAUUAUAAGGUAAAUAGGGUUUUACAAGAUGUUCGUGUAGCCAGAAGAUAUGUUAUUGUUACAGUUAUGUUGCUAAUAUUUUUAAUCCCAAAAUAAAUUUACACAGAAUCUUAAAAUUUUAUAGCUAUUAUACGUGUUAGAUUUGAGAAUAAUCAUGAUUAGACUUUGUUUGAAAAUUUGUUAUAAAAUUUCAUUGUUUUUAAGAAUUUUUUUAUCUUCUAAUAGUUUGUGACAAGUUUUCAUCAAAUAAUUAUAAUUAAAUAAAAGUUAAUAAAUUAAUAGAUUUUUGGGAGAAUAUCAAUUUUAACAAGUUUGAUACCAUUUUUCAAAUUUAUUUUUAAAAGAUAAUUAUUUUCAUAAAUACCUUAAAUUUGUGAUUAAAAUAAUUAUAUUAACUCUCAAAAAUUAUUUAUAAAUAAUUAAGAAUUUUAAAAAAAAAUACUAAUAGAAGUUUAUAAACCAAACCUAACCCCUAAAUACUAAACCCUAAACAAUAAUCACUAAAUCUUAAUUUCAAAUGUGAAGGUAUUUUGAUUAAGACUUACUUUAAACAAUUUCUCUAGAUUU